RNAcentral lists this non-coding RNA (506 nucleotides) under uncultured Glomeromycotina. Its description in RNAcentral is "SSU rRNA". It matches the Rfam family "Eukaryotic small subunit ribosomal RNA", at positions 591 to 1092 of the family's 1831-position model. Lineage: Eukaryota; Fungi; Glomeromycota. The record is from RNAcentral. RNAcentral also lists the same sequence under 1 other name.
CCAAUAGCGUAUAUUAAAGUUGUUGCAGUUAAAAAGCUCGUAGUUGAAUUUCGGGAUUGACGUGAUGGUCGUGCCUUAAGGGGUAUGAACUGUCGCAGUUGAUUUCUCACCUUCUGGAGAAGCAUGAUGUCCUUAAUUGGGUGUCAUGUGGAACCAGGACCUUUACCUUGAAAAAAUUAGAGUGUUUAAAGCAGGCAUUUUGCUCGAAUACAUUAGCAUGGAAUAAUAGAAUAGGACGGCAUGGUUCUAUUUUGUUGGUUUCUAGGAUCACCGUAAUGAUUAAUAGGGAUAGUUGGGGGCAUUAGUAUUCAAUUGUCAGAGGUGAAAUUCUUGGAUUUAUUGAAGACUAACUACUGCGAAAGCAUUUGCCAAGGAUGUUUUCAUUAAUCAAGAACGAAAGUUAGGGGAUCGAAGACGAUCAGAUACCGUCGUAGUCUUAACCAUAAACUAUGCCGACUAGGAAUCAGACGAUGUUAAUUUUUUAAUGACUCGUUUGGCACCUUACG